AUGGGCUACCUGCCUGGGGAACACCUACCUCUGAGCAGUCACAGCCCCGCUGCAGGCCCUCGAAGAGCUCCUGACCGCAUAGCCCAGGCCUUGCCUCCUGCCCUCCGCCCUCCGCCCUCCGACCUCUGCCCUCCACCCUCUGCCCUCCAUCCUGGGACUGCGGCCCGAGCCCCCGCCCACCGCAGAGGUUUGGCGAAGGCCUGGGUCUCCGCCUGGAGCUCUCCCACUUUCCUCCUGCCUUUCUUCGGGCCUCAGGGCCAGGCAGGCUCCUUGGAGCUCCUUUCCUGCACGGCUCCCAUGGUAUUUGUGCAAUUGGUUGACGGGAGCCCAGGUCUGGGGCUCCAGGAGGGCAAGCAGUCGGCUUUAAAGCCCAGAACGGAGGUUCCGAAUCAUUUGGCGCAAGAAGGCAUUCUCCGAGCAGAAGGGGACUCGGGGCUGUUUUAUUUUCUAAAUGGGUCGCCGGGGACCGGGCUCCCUCUCGCCUACACGACGUGCUCCAAUCUCGUCCCCCUUUUCUGGGGCUCCGAGCUGGCAGCACGUGGCCACAAUUUGAGGAGAGGCUGCCUGGGAAUGAAGCCAUGACGAGGAAAGAUGGACAGAAACAGGAGAAAAGGAAUGAAGCACCUGGAUGGAGCUGUACCUGAAACCCAGGUGAGCUGAUACAUUCCCUUCUGCACAAGUCAGUUCAAACUGGGUUUCUGUACCGUCCAGUCAAAAGAUGCCUGAUUAAUGCAGGGUCUACGGCCCCAAAACAGUUUGCAGCCUUAGCCCCUUUUCCUGUCCGGUGGUUUCCUCUUAGGACAGUAAUUUGCAAGAGCAUUCACCAUAUUAGGAACUUUCCAUCACAUCCUUUGCAACUGGUUUCUCUGGUCGGCUGUGUACAUGUUUGCGUGUGUAUUCCUUUUUCUUUUUUGUCUUUUUGCCUUUUCUAGAGCCACUCCCACGGCACAUGGAGGUUCCCAGGCUAGGGGUCGAAUCGGAGCCGUAGCCACUGGCCUCCACCACAGCCACAGCAAUGCCAGAUCCGAGCUGCAUCUGCGACCUGCACCACAGCUCGUGGCAAUGACAGAUCCUUCACCCUCUGAGCGAGGCCAGGGAUCGAAUCCGCAACCUCAUGGUUCCUAGUCGGAUUCGUUAACCACUGCGCCACGACGGGAACUCCUGCGUGUGUAUUUCUUUAUGGAAUUUUUUGCCACACCUAAUUCUCUGAAGUAUGCAGUCCCAGGUGUCUCUCUCUCCUAUAAUUUGGGGUUUAAUUUUGCUUUAUCUGUUAAAGCCACAUGUCCUUUAUCAGAUUCAGAUGUUGCUCUUCAGGGUUGCUGGGAGACCUUUUCACAAUUACAAAUGAGUAUUAAAUCGUAUCAAGUGCUCCUUCUUCAGUUACUGAGAUGACGGGGCAUUUUUUUCUCAUUUCACCUGUAACAGGAAAUGCAUUUAUCAGGUUCCUGGCCUUGAAAGCCCACUGUAAGCCAUGGCAAUACCAUCUUUGACGUACCGCCGACCUCACUCGAACAGCCUCUUGAGGCUUUCUGCGUCUAUCCGGAAUGAGACUAGUCUUUUAAUUUUCAUCUUGGAGUUGAGAUCAUGCUAGCUUUCUGUGGUAUGCUUAAGACAGGGAGUUUUCUGCUGCAUGUGCAUUUAGUAAACAUUCGCACGUGAAACCAGCUAGACCUGGGGUGUCUCUGGGCGUGAAUUUUGAGAGCAUACGCUGUGGCUAUAAUGGAGGGACCCCCGAGGGAGAGGGGGCAGGGGCUGGGCCUCUGCUCUAGCUGGGAGGCGGCCCCAUCACGGUGGCAGAGACUCAAAGGCAGGCGGGCGAGGGGGCAGCUUCCUAGAGAAAGGGCCCCCCGUGCCCUGAGUGGGGCUAUGAGCUGGGGAAGCUGCGGCGGCCACUGGGGAUGCUGCAAGCGGCCGGUGGGUCCGGGAGCACACCUGGCUUUCUCUGGUUGGUCCUGAGCUGGCAGCGGGGCGCAAUUAGGGAAGCAGCAGAUAUUGGCCAAGUCCUGGCCGUUUGGGUCCAGCCGCUGCGGGGGCUGUGGCCUGAGUUCUGCCCACAUAUCUGGUGGGCAUCAUCUGAGGGUACAAGUCGUUCUGUUCUAGAGGCUGCCCCAUUCUUCUACCUUCCAAAUGUACUGGCAUCAAAUUGUUUAUAGGAUUUGCUUUGAUUUUUUUUUUUUUUUUUGUCUUUUUGUUGUUGUUGUUGCUAUUUCUUGGGCCGCUUCCGUGGCAUAUGGAGGUUCCCAGGCUAGGGGUUGAAUCGGAGCUGUAGCCACUGGCCUACGCCAGAGCCACAGCAACUCGGGAUCCGAGCCGCGUCUGCAACCUACACCACAGCUCACGGCAACGCCUGAUCGUUAACCCACUGAGCAAGGGCAGGGACCGAACCCGCAACCUCACGGUUCCUAGUCGGCUUCGUUAACCACUGCGCCACGACGGGAACUCCUGAUUUUUUUUUUUUUUUUUUUUUUUUUUUUUUUUUGCUUUAUUAAGGCUACACCCGCAGAAUGUGGAAGGUUCCAGGCUAGGGCUCUAAUCAGAGCUACAGCUGCUGGGAGUUCCUGUUGUGGCUCUGUGGUUAACGAAUCCAACUAGGAACCAUGAGGUUGUGGGUUCGAUCCCUGGCCUUGCUCAGUGGGUUAUGGAUCCGGCGUUGCUGUGACUGUGGUGUAGGCCGGCGGCUGUAGCUCUGAUUGGACCCCUAGCCUGGGAACCUCCAUGUGCCGCAGGUGCGGCCGAAAACAAAAAAGCAAAAAAAACCUUUUCUACACUAAAACGAAAAAUAUAGUUUUAGGAGGACUUUUUUUCCCUUUGGUAGCAUCCUCGGGAUUUUCUGCACAGAAGGUCUUAUUAUCUGCAAAGAGGAACCAAACAGUUUCAUAUCUACCUCCCCAUGUUUCUGGGCCUUUUACUUUCUCUCCUGCGCUGGUAGAACUUUCGGGAGGCUGCUGCCUAAGGGUGGUGAGUGCAGACACCCUCGCCUCAUUCUGAUUUAUAGGGAAGGCAGUUAGUCUUUCAUUGCUAAGAAUCGUGUUGGCUGCAGGCAUUUUGCAUCUACAUCACGAGAGAUGUUUGCGUUUCAUCUUAUUUUGUACUGUCCUUGGUUAUGGUAUCUGGGCAAUCGCAGCUUCAUGAAAUGAAUUGAGAACUAUCCCUUCUUCUAUUUUCUGGAACAUUUUGGUGCAGUUUCUCUUCAAACAUUUGGCGGAAUUCUACACACAACCACCUGGCUUGGAGAGUUCUUUCUUCGGAAGUUUUAAAAGCACGACUUCAAUGUCCAUGAUAGUUAUGAGGCUAUUCCCACGGUCCAUUUCAAAAUGAGCAGGUUGUGCUGGUUUGUGCUUUUCUAGGACUUGUUCCAGUUCAUCUAAGUUGUCAAGUUCCUGUUAUUUUUUCUUUUCUUUUCUUCUUUUUUUUUUUUUUUUUUUUGGCCACCCCUUGGCAUGUGGAGGUCCUGGGCCAGGGAUCAGAUCCGAGCUACAGUGGCAACCUAAGCCGCAGCUGCAGCAAUGCUGGAUCCUUAACCCACUGUGCCAGACUGGGGCUCGAACCUGCAUCCCAGUGCUCCCAAGACACCACAACAGGAACUCCUUUUUUUUUUUUUUUUUUUUUGCUUUUUUUAAGGGCUGCACUUGCAGCAUAUGGAGGUUCCCAGGCUAGGGGUCUAAUCGGAGCUACAGCCGUCGGCCUCCACCACAGCCACAGCCAUGCCAGACCUGAGCUGCAUCUGUGACGUACACCACAGCUCACAGCCACGCUGGGUCCUUAACCCACUGAGCCAGGCCAGGGAUCGAACCCGCAACCUCAGGGUCCCUAGUCGGAUUUUUUCCACUGCGCCACGACGCGAACUCCUUCGUUACGUUUGAAUUAAAGCAUAGUUGAUGUACGAUGUGCCAGUUUCUGCUGUCCAGCAAGGCGACCCAGUCACACGCAUGCCUACGUUCCUUUCUCAUGCUCUCUUCCAUCAAGGUCUGUCCCCAAAGACUGGGCGUGGUCCCCGUGCUGCACAGUGGGGCUUCAUUGCUUAUCCCUUCUAAACGUCAGAGUCUGAUCUACCGACCCCAAACCCCAGGCCACCCCACUUCCUCCCACUCUCUUCCUCGGCGACCACAAGUCUGUUUGCCAAGUUUGUUUCUGUUCAGUAGAUGGGUUCAUUUGUGAUAUAUUUUAUUUUAUUUAUUUUUAUUUUUUUCCCCACUGUACAGCAAGGGGAUCAAGUUAUCCUCACAUGUAUACAUUACAAUUACAUUUUUCCCCCACCCUUUGUUCUGUUGCAACAUGAGUAUCUAGACAAAGUUCUCAAUGCUAUUCAGUAGGAUCUCCUUGUAAAUCUAUUCUUUUUUUUUUUUUUUUUGCUAUUUCUUUGGGCUGCUCCCGAGGCAUAUGGAGGUUCCCAGGCUAGGGGUCGAAUCGGAGCUGUAGCCACCGGCCUACGCCAGGGCCACAGCAACGCGGGAUCCGAGCCGCGUCUGCAACCUACACCGCAGCUCACGGCAACGCCGGAUCGUUAACCCACUGAGCAAGGGCAGGGACCGAACCCGCAACCUCAUGGUUCCUAGUCGGAUUCGUUAACCACUACGCCAUGACGGGAACUCCUCCUUGUAAAUCUAUUCUAAGUUGUGCCCAAGCUCCCGAUCCCUCCCGCUCCCUCCCCCUCCCAUCGGGCAGCCACAGGUCUUUUCUCCAAGUCCCUUAUUUUCUUUUCUGAGGAGAUGUUCAUUUGUGCUUGAUAUUAGAUUCCAGUUAUAAGUGAUAUCAUAUGGUAUUUGUCUUUGUCUUUCUGGCUCAUUUCACUCAGGAUGAGAGUCUCUAGUUCCAUCCAUUUGUGAUAUAUUUUAGAUUUCACACAUAAGUGCUAUCAUGAGGCAUUUACCUUUCUCUCUCUCUCUCUUUUUUUUUUUUGCUUUUUAUGGCUACACUAGUGGCAUGUGGAGGAUCCCAGGCUAGGGGUCGAAUCACAGCUAUAGCUGCCAGCCUACACCACAGCCACAGCAACGCCAUAUCCUUAACCCACUGAGCAAGGCCAGGGAUCGAACCCGCAACCUCAUGGUUCCUCGUCGGAUGCAUUUCCAUUGCGCCACAACGGGAAUUCCUGCCUUUCUCUUCCUGACUUAACUUCACGUAACAUAAUGAUCUCUAGUUGCGUCCAUGUUGCUGCAGAUGGCAUUAUUUUGUUCCUUUUUAUGUCUGAGUCGUAUUCCACCGUGUAUACGUACCACAUCUUCCUGAUCCAUUCAUCUGUCAGUGGACAUUUAGGUUGUUUCCGUGUCUUGGCUGCUGUGCAUCGUGCUGCAGUGAACAUAGGGGCGCAUGUAUCUUUUUGAAUCACAGUUUUCUGUGGACGCACACCCAGAAGUGGG
RNAcentral lists this long non-coding RNA (5357 nucleotides) under Sus scrofa (pig). RNAcentral's name for it is "lncRNA (ENSSSCG00035081058.1)". The record is from RNAcentral. Lineage: Eukaryota; Metazoa; Chordata; Mammalia; Artiodactyla; Suidae.